AUGCGCAGUGGGAGGCGGCGUGGCCAUGGAGGGCGCGACCGGUGGUGCUCGCCGAGGAAGACGGGGCCCCAGACGACGCCGGAGCAGGUAGUGCUUGCCGGGGAAGACGAGGCCCCAGACUGCGCCAGAGCAAGCGCCAGGGAUUUCGGCGUGGGGCGUGCCAGGAGCCUGACGGACGACGACCUGGAGGAGCUCAAGGGGUGCGUGGAUCUGGGUUCAAUUUGCAGUAGCAGCAGAGCAGCAGACCCGGUAGAUCGGCGGCCUUCCAAUCUUCAAGACCAGAGGAGGCUUCGAAAUCACGCCGGAGCCAGGGUGCCUGCGGUUGGGGAUUUUUGGGGGACAAGCGGCGAGGGCUGGUCAUAUAUUAUGGAGGCGACUGGGGAAGGCGCCGAAUACGAUACGUCUGAUUCCUUCCAAAACUGCUUGCGCAGGCCCAAUAGGCAGCGACGACCCGGGCCCGUGAACGAACGAAAGUUUUAA
RNAcentral lists this ribosomal RNA (480 nucleotides) under Triticum aestivum (bread wheat). Its description in RNAcentral is "partial small subunit ribosomal RNA". Lineage: Eukaryota; Viridiplantae; Streptophyta; Magnoliopsida; Poales; Poaceae. The record is from RNAcentral.